This is a non-coding RNA of Paramormyrops kingsleyae, 459 nucleotides long. The record is from RefSeq and is a predicted model, not a curated record. NCBI's taxonomy places the organism in Eukaryota, Metazoa, Chordata, Actinopteri, Osteoglossiformes, Mormyridae.
UAAAAGAUGGGGAACCGCGGUGUCACUCAGAACAGCUGCGGUCCUCUGCUUACCAGCCCAUCUGAGAAGAUGAAACUCACCUGCAUCGUCCUUCUUCUUCUUGGAGCUCUGGUCUCCCUGAGCUUCUCUCAGAACAGCAAACUACCAGAUAAAUGCUGCAAACAAUACUACGAAAGGCCAAUUCCAGCAGCAGCAGUGACAUCCUGUGAAGUAUCAGAUAACAGAUGCGGCGGCUUGGAUGCUGUAAUCAUAACCACAAGAAAAGGACGGAGCGCAUGCAUUAACCCAGGGAAGAAAGCAAAUGAGAAAAUAAUGAAGAAAUGUUCAUCACUGGAAGAUAAGAAGGAUGCUUAAAUGAAACACACACAUGUACAGUGAUAUAAAUGGUUCUAUAUGCUUUCAUUUGUUUGUCAGUUUCUAAUGAUGCAAAAUCGAUAAAUAGAUAAUAAGAAGUAUUAU